CGGACGAGUCCUUACCUGGAGCAUUGUGAUGGGUUUUGUUGUGUCUCGCUCCUGCCCCACCUACUUCGUAAGUGGGUAAUUGGCAGCUGUGCUCCAUAAAAAGGAAGCGCGGCUAUCCAGGGCAGACGUCUGCUUUGUCCAGGGACGACUCUGACCGACCUAUCGCCUAUCCCCGACGUUUGGCUGUAGUUUGUUCCACCAUUUGCUCCAGUAACAGAAGUCGCUGCUAAACUACUGGCUGGAUAUUCUCACGGCUGCUCUUAACCCCCGGUGUGCUCAUCAAUUCCAGCUUAGCAACAUCACAGAGUGUUGCGCUGUCCGGGCUCCCUACAUCUGACGUUAGCUGUUGCAUGGAUCUGUAUGGUAUCCUGAUGUGGUGACGGCCUUGCUGUUUUGUUCCUGUUUGGGGUUUGCUGUGUGGAGCGCCUUCCGCUUCUCUCUGUGGCCUUCCAUCGCUGCGUCUCUGAUGCAUGAUUGCUAGCUAACCUGGUGGUGGCUAUCUGCUUGGGCCUGUUUAGUGCGGACGUGUGUGUUUGUUGCAUGAGUGUGCAUGUGUGGGAGUUUGGUUUGCUUGCUGCUCUAUUGAUGCUCUGUGCUUUUCUCUGUAUUUUGUUUUGUCUUAUUUGUACUCAUUUGUUUUUGUUUGUUUUUUCUACUGCAUGUACUGUCAAGUGGGCUUUCCCUGUGUAUGUUGCUUGUCUCUCCUGCUGGGGGCUACAUUGGGCGCAUGUUGGAGGGUGUAUUCUCCUCUGGUGUCCAUCCCUUAUUGUGUGUGCUGUGUUAAUUAGUUUAGAUAAGUCACCUUUUCAU
Molecule: long non-coding RNA, 810 nt
Organism: Alosa sapidissima (American shad)
Lineage: Eukaryota; Metazoa; Chordata; Actinopteri; Clupeiformes; Clupeidae
Exons: 4
Source: RefSeq, a predicted model, not a curated record